CGGGGGGGCGAAGCGUUGUUCGGAAUUACUGGGCGGUAAAGGGCGUCGUAGGCGGCCAACUAAGUCGGACGUGAAAUCCCCACGGCUCAACCUGGGAACUGCGUCCGAUACUGGAUGGCUUGAAUCCGGGAGAGGGAUGCAGAAUUCCAGGUGUAGCGGUGAAAUGCGUAGAUAUCUGGAGGAAUACCGGUGGCGAAGGCGGCAUCCUGGACCGGCAUUGACGCUGAGGAGCGAAAGCCAGGGGAGCAAACGGGAUUAGAUACCCCGGUAGUCCUGGCCCUAAACGAUGAAUGCUUGGUGUAACGGGUAUCGAUCCCUGUUGUGCCGAAGCUAACGCAUUAAGCAUUCCGCCUGGGGAGUACGGUCGCAAGGCUG
Molecule: ribosomal RNA, 375 nt
Filed under: uncultured organism
Description: bacterial SSU rRNA
Rfam family: Bacterial small subunit ribosomal RNA
Source: RNAcentral